AAAUAUAAAUUUGUUCAUGGGGGACAAAACACCCCAAUAGUACAACACCAUGGUCAAAAUACAAAAUCCGAAAAUACAAAUAGAAAUAACAUAAAAACUGAAAACACACAAAAACUUAACCCACAAAGGGCUCAGGACUCCUCUUCGCUACCGGCCUCAGAACCGGUAGCCUCAUCAUCAAUAUCAUCAUCAUCAGCAUCAGCUU
This 205-nucleotide long non-coding RNA is filed under the name Lathyrus oleraceus (garden pea). RNAcentral's name for it is "Pisum sativum (pea) long non-coding RNA (PSAT_LNC020392)". Lineage: Eukaryota; Viridiplantae; Streptophyta; Magnoliopsida; Fabales; Fabaceae. The record is from RNAcentral.